UCCAUCUUUCUGCCUCUCACUCUUUGGAUGGCACGCCCACUUCCGGCUCCCGCGCUUCCGUCUGACGGUAGCUCACCGGUUGCAGACUUUUUGCUGACUCCCCCGGUCUGUCAGAACCCGGUGUUUGAUGCAUCGUUAACGCUCGUUAACAGAUCGCUUGUCGGACGGUACGGUUAGCCAUCACGGCUAACCAUAGCCCCAGGCUCCAUCUGCUCUACCUGUUCUGGUGUGGUGCUGCACGGUGCGGCUGUCCUGGGUCUGUGCGGCCUGCUGUCCUUUCCAGCCGCUGUCGUGGCUGCAACAGCUCGUCGAUCUGCUCUCGGGAGCGGUUGCUGAGAGCUACCGGUGGUGGUCCCUGGUGUCCUUGUGGUGGUUUCCCCUUUUGAGUGUGUGUGCUGUGCACCCCCUUUUUUUGU
This is a long non-coding RNA of Thunnus maccoyii (southern bluefin tuna), 416 nucleotides long. RefSeq lists it as uncharacterized. The transcript is spliced from 4 exons. The record is from RefSeq and is a predicted model, not a curated record. NCBI's taxonomy places the organism in Eukaryota, Metazoa, Chordata, Actinopteri, Scombriformes, Scombridae.